This 250-nucleotide ribosomal RNA is filed under the name uncultured bacterium. RNAcentral's name for it is "partial 16S ribosomal RNA". It matches the Rfam family "Bacterial small subunit ribosomal RNA", at positions 524 to 773 of the family's 1533-position model. The record is from RNAcentral.
UACAGAGGGUGCAAGCAUUAAUCGGAUUUAUUGGGCGUAAAGGGCGCGUAGGCGGUGAGAUAAGUCAGAUGUGAAAUCCCGGGGCUCAACCCCGGAACAGCAUUUGAAACUAUCUUUCUAGAGGGUAGGCGGAGAAAACGGAAUUCCACAAGUAGCGGUGAAAUGCGUAGAUAUGUGGAAGAACACCGGUGGCGAAGGCGGUUUUCUAGCUUAUACCUGACGCUAAUGCGCGAAAGCAAGGGGAUCAAAC